RNAcentral lists this ribosomal RNA (492 nucleotides) under uncultured bacterium. RNAcentral describes it as "partial 16S ribosomal RNA". It matches the Rfam family "Bacterial small subunit ribosomal RNA", at positions 30 to 507 of the family's 1533-position model. The record is from RNAcentral.
AUUGAACGCUGGCGGUAUGCCUAACACAUGCAAGUCGAACGGCAGCACAGUAAGAGCUUGCUCUUACGGGUGGCGAGUGGCGGACGGGUGAGGAAUACAUCGGAAUCUACUUUUUCGUGGGGGAUAACGUAGGGAAACUUACGCUAAUACCGCAUACGACCUACGGGUGAAAGCAGUGGAUCUUCGGACCUUGCGCGAUUGAAUGAGCCGAUGUCGGAUUAGCUAGUUGGCGGGGUAAAGGCCCACCAAGGCGACGAUCCGUAGCUGGUCUGAGAGGAUGAUCAGCCACACUGGAACUGAGACACGGUCCAGACUCCUACGGGAGGCAGCAGUGGGGAAUAUUGGACAAUGGGCGAAAGCCUGAUCCAGCCAUACCGCGUGGGUGAAGAAGGCCUUCGGGUUGUAAAGCACUUUUGUUGGGAAAGAAAAGCAGCAGGUUAAUACCCCGCUGUUAUGACGGUACCCAAAGAAUAAGCACCGGCUAACUUCGUG